CCUCUUUGCCCCUUCUUUCAGGGUGCUGGACUGCUCAAAUUUUAUUAGCAUAGGUAACAGUUUAUAUAGACAGCUUAAUUGUAACUUACAUCACAGUGCUUAGAUCACAUUCUCAAAGGUUAAAUUUUAGACUACAUGGUAUGGUAGAUAUACAAUGUGUUCUAAAAAUUUUAAUCAAAACUAACGGAUACAAUGCAUCAUGCAAAAUUAUAAUGGGUACAAAACAUUAUGUGGAAAAAUCAUUAUAUGAAAAUAAGGCAAUUCGAUAUAAAAUGUCUUGUGGUUACUUUUAGCAAGCACCACCGUUAUUGUUUUAAGCUAGUCUUUAACAACUAGAAAGGUCACAAGCACAAGAAUUUAACAUUUACAAAAACUCAUUUUUUAGAUUAAAGCUUAGGGUACUAACUUCAAAGCGUUAUGGUCAGGGGACAGUAUGAGAAAAUAUUUUAUAUAUCAAAGCAACUUAAUUUUCUAAAACUUAAAAGUUCCCUACAAAACUUAUUAAAAGCAAGAUUAUAUUUUUCCAUCAAGAAUGAUGUAUGUCUAACCUAUUCUAACCUGUUGUACACUCCACAAUUACCUAACUCUAAAACCUAUUUUUACUUGUAAUAAACCAAUGAACACUUUGUUUUUGCUUGUAUUAGAUCUGAAUAGGGGGAAUUUCACCAAGGUGAAACUCAUUAUUUUAUUACUGUUCCAAUUUUUGUUGUUCCAAUUUUAUUGAAUCACAAAACAAUAUAGAAAAUAACAAUAUAGAAAAAUAACAAAGAAUAACAAAUAACAGAAAAGGCUGAGUAAUAAGUAAAUAACAGGAAAGACUGAAUUUUCCAAGAAGCAAUUUUUUAUUCUUGCACUAUUCUGCAAAGCCUUCAUUUUGUUAUUGCUGCUGUUGUUGUUGGGUUAGCAGGUGAGCCUCAUUAUUUUUAGAACUUGCCCUCGGAACUGUGCCACCGGGUAAGCCCCUUACCCUAUUUCUAAACCUGCCCUCGGAACUGUGCUGGCGGGUAGGCUUUUUUUCCCUCGGUUAGAAACCAUGCCUUUGGGAACUGCUAGUUCCAUUCCUUGGCCUCCUGUAUCUCCUUGGCUCCCCGCAGGUUGCUUCCAUGUCUUGGCUAUUGAAAACAGUGCUGCUAUGAACUUUGGGUUGCCUGUAUCUUUUCAAAGUAGUACUUUUGGUUUUUUUCAGAUAUAUAUACAGGAGUAGAAUUGCUGGAUCAUAUGGUUGUAUUAUUUUUAGUUUUUAAAGAAACCUCUAUGUUGUUUUCCACAUUGGCUACACCAGUUUAUAUUCCCACCAACAGUGUAGGAGGGUUCCCUUUUCUCCACAUUCUCGCCAAUAUUUGUUACUUGUGUUCAUUUUGAUGAUAGUCAUUCUGACAGGUGUGAAGUGACAUCUCAUUUUGGUUUUGAUUUGCAUUUCCCAGAUGAUUAGCAGUGUUGAGCCUCUUUUCAUGUGUCUGUUGGCCAUCUGCAUUUCCUCUUUGGGAAAAGGUCUGUUCAGAUCUUCUGCCCAUUUUUUAUAAUUGGAUUGAUGUUGAAUUGUAUGAGCUUUUUUUUCCCUUCUUUUUACAGCCACACUUGUGGCAUAUGAAAGUUUUCAGGCUAGGGGUUGAAUAAGAGCUACAGCUGUUGGCUUACAUCACAGCCACAGCAACACCAGAUCUGAGGCACAUCCAUGACCUAUACACGGCUUGCAGCAACACUGGAUCCUUAACCCACAGAGUGAGGCCAGAGAUUGAACCUACAUCCUCAUGGAUACUAGUUGGGUUCUUAACCCUCUGAGCCACAGAAAAUUCCAUAUGAGCUAUUUAUAUAUGUUGGAUAUUAACCCCUUAUUGUUCAUAUCAUAUGCAAAUAGCUUUUCCUAUUCUAUGGGUUGUCUUUUCAUUUUGUCAAUGAUUCCCAUUUAUUUUUGCUUUUAUUUUCUUUGCUUUAGAAGUUGGACCCAAAAAUGUAUUGCUGUUAUUUAUGUCAGAAUGUUCUGUCUAUGUUUUCCUCUAGGAGUUUUAUAGUAUCCAUCUUACAUUUAGGUCUUUAAUCCACUUUAGUUUAUUUCUGUAUAUGAUAUUAGAUAAUGUUCUAGUUUCAUUCUUUUUCAUGCAGCUGUCUGAUUUUCUCAGCACCACUUGUUGAAAAGGCUGUUUUAUUUCUUUUGUAUAUUCUUGCCUCCUUCAUCCUAGAUUAAUUAACUAUAAUGUGUAUAUGUAUAUGUGCUAUCAUAGAAAUCUCAUAAAAACAUUAGUAAGUAAAAAAAAGUUGCAUAAGAAUAUUUAUAGAAUGACCUCAUUCCUAUGACAAAUUAUAAACAAGCCAUAUUCAAUUUGUUUCUGGUUGGUAGUAAAGUGAAACUUUCUCUACACAUGUGAUUUUUUCCUUGGGAAUGUAUCCAUAUAUUGUACAUACAUUUUAUUUUUAGAAUAGAUGGCAUGCAGACACGUAUGUUUUUAGAAGUAAGAAUUUCAAAUAGGGAAACAGAAGAGUCAGAGACUCUGAAAUUCAGAGGUUCUGAAAGCUGAUAAUAUGCAUUUUAGAACCAAGAAAGGCCUGAAUGAAGGUUCCAAUAAAACUUUGCAGUGCUGGGGAACAGGAAUCUAUCCACAGCACAUCAUUUCCUUACCUCUAAAUAGAAGAGGUCCUCCAGGGCUUUUCUGGACUUCUCUUUCCUGUUCUUUUCUCCCUGUCUCCCUGAUUGCCCUGAUUGUCCUCAGAGUCCUGGGUCAAGAAUGAGACAUGCCUGGGAGGGAUUACUCCAAAGCAAUAAAAACCUCCCGCAGUAGUUCCUGAUCCAAAUUCCCACCCAUCUUCCACCAAGCUCUACUUACUUAGUAUUGGAACCUGGUAGCUCUGGACAUGAUGGCCCCACCAUCACCAGCCACACUGCUCUGUGGGGGAGAGCCCUACAGCCUGACACAGACACCUCUGUUUCUCUCCAUGGUAUUAAAAAGUAGCUGGUCAAUGAGUACCCCAAGAAAACUCAGUUGUCUCUGGUUUCUUAAGGCUCUUCCUAUAUUCUGGUAAGCUUUCUUAUAAAUGAUUCUUUAUCAUUUUAAAAAAUUUUAUUAGAGUAUAGUUGAUUUACAAUGUUUGCAUCAUGUUUAUAGCAAAGUGGAUCAGUUAUACAUAUAUCCAUUCUUUCCCCGCAUAGGUUAUCGGGGGAACAUUAAGUAAACCUCCCUACACUAUACAGUAGGUCCUUGAGAUUCUUUAUCAUUUUAACUGUGAGGGUUAGGUUGAUAUUAUUGAGUCAAGAUGAGUAGUUGUGCCUAUCAAGAGCCAGGAAGUAUAGUCCAAAAACUGUGAAAGGAGUUUACAACAUUGCUCAAUUUAUUUUCCUCAAUUACAGUUAUGAGGUAAGAACUAUUAAUGUUCCCAUUUUAUAGAUGAGAAAACAAACAGUAGCUUAAAGGUAUUGAGUAAGUGUCCAAGUUCACUUGGUUAGUAAGUAGCAGAGUUAAGAUUUAAAUCCAAAUUCAAACCUGGUUAGUCUAAUUUCUAACCCUGUACACAUAACUUUCACAAAAGGGUUAGUAUGGGCUCAUCAGGGGAAAAUUGUUACUUAACAAAAUUCAACCUAAGGCUUACAGCUUUUUAAAGCAUAGUAUUUGCUUAAUUCUGAGGAUGUUUUCAUGGCAAGAGUUACAUGGAAUAGCAGGAUCAUGCUCAUAAACAGUUUGAGUGGACUUUAUCGAUUUCAUUCUCUAAAAAUAUGACAGCAGGACAAUGUUAUCCUUCCCAUUUUGCAGAUAACACCAGCCAGUAGUUUUUAAAUCAGCAUAUCCAUUUUGAGCAUAUCCUUUCAGGAUUCAUCACACUGCAAACAUCCCUCUUAUAUGCAUUGAUGAAGAUAAAUUCUCUAAGGAACCCUCCAAAUAGCCCAUGCCAACAAAUGAGCUUCAAAGUACAUUCAGAUUUUAAACACCUGAAAACUUAGAGUAGAUAACCUUUCCCUAUCUGAGAAAAGCAAAGAAACUCUUUAACUAUGGCCUGGUACAAGGAGGCGUUCAUAUUUGCUGCCCAGACAUUGUCUCCCUGUACCUCCAGCCACAGAAAACAGGGAUUUGAUGAGAAGAGGAAGCUGAAAUAAAUGAGAGAAGCCUCCAGAUUUUAAUGACUUAGUACUUUACUUCAGAACCCAUAAACAACUCCUUACCAUCUGGCCUCACUUUAUUUUUUAUCACACCGGAGGGAAUCUCAGCCUACUACAUGAUUUUUUUUAAAAAGUCAGGAUCAAAUUUCUCCUUUUUCCCAACCCCUACUUCCAGCUCUGAGCACAGAGUUUUUCAAAGUAAAUCUUUGCUAUUAUUCUUACAGAGAAAGAAAUCUGGUGUGAAUGAAAAAGAACUCUAAGACAAGCACAAAAGGUGUUUUGUUUCUUUCAAAAUGAUGUAAUUUAUACAGCUGUGUAUAUGAGCAAAGCUGUUUCAGAGAAGCAAAUUUGAGCAUGACUUUCAAGCCUUGGCACCAUGUCCCUAAGAGCUGUUCUCAAGUCAUUUCACUUCACUCUACCUUUGGUGUCUCCAUCAGACAC
RNAcentral lists this long non-coding RNA (4528 nucleotides) under Sus scrofa (pig). RNAcentral describes it as "lncRNA (ENSSSCG00000060350.1)". Lineage: Eukaryota; Metazoa; Chordata; Mammalia; Artiodactyla; Suidae. The record is from RNAcentral.